GAUGAACGCUGGCGGCGUGCUUAACACAUGCAAGUCGAACGGAAAGGCCCAAGCUUGCUUGGGUGCUCGAGUGGCGAACGGGUGAGUAACACGUGGGUGAUCUGCCCUGCACUUUGGGAUAAGUUUGGGAAACUGGGUCUAAUACCGGAUAGGACCAUCGUCUAGUGUGGGUGGUGGAAAGUUUUUCGGUGUGGGAUGAGCUAGUGGCCUAUCAGCUUGUUGGUGGGGUAAUGGGCUACCAAGGCGUCGACGGGUAGUCGGCCUGGGAGGGUGUACGGCCACAAUGGGGCUGAGAUACGGCCCAGACGCCUACGGGGGGGAGGAGGGGGGAAUAUUGCACAAUGGGGGCGAACCUUAUGCAGCGACGCCGGGUGGGGGGAGACGGCCUUCGGGUUGUAAACUCCUUUCGCCAAGGACGGAGCGUUUAGUGACGGUACUUGGAGAAGAAGCACCGGCUAACUACGUG
Molecule: ribosomal RNA, 466 nt
Filed under: uncultured bacterium
Lineage: Bacteria
Description: partial 16S ribosomal RNA
Rfam family: Bacterial small subunit ribosomal RNA
Source: RNAcentral